Molecule: ribosomal RNA, 253 nt
Filed under: uncultured bacterium
Lineage: Bacteria
Description: partial 16S ribosomal RNA
Rfam family: Bacterial small subunit ribosomal RNA
Source: RNAcentral
UACAGAGGUCUCAAGCGUUGUUCGGAUUCAUUGGGCGUAAAGGGUGCGUAGGCGGCGCGGUAAGUCGGGGGUGAAAUCUCGGAGCUUAACUCCGAAACUGCAUUCGAUACUACCGUGCUUGAGGACUGGAGAGGAGACUGGAAUUUACGGUGUAGCGGUGGAAUGCGCAGAUAUCAGGAGGAACACCGGUGGCGAAGGCGGGAUCCUGGGCCAGUACUGACGCUGAGGAGCGAAAGCGUGGGGAGCGAACAGG